Panicum virgatum (switchgrass) is the source of this 1602-nucleotide long non-coding RNA. RefSeq lists it as uncharacterized. The record is from RefSeq and is a predicted model, not a curated record. Lineage: Eukaryota; Viridiplantae; Streptophyta; Magnoliopsida; Poales; Poaceae. The transcript is spliced from 3 exons.
AGGUCUGCCAAAGUAAGAACACUAUAAAGCGUUCUACUAGACUCAAUGUCAGGUGCUUCGCACAAUUCUCUAGGUCUUGGUCCACUGCUCACAAUGGUGCUGAUGCAAUAGAAAGCAGGAAAUUCCUUUGGUUCAUGGAUAUGAUAAGAUAAGAUGAGUCCAAAUGACAUGAAAAUCUGCAUUGUAUUGGCCCUGGUAAGGUCCUAACGAUACACCCCGAAUAUCAGCAUGGUUCUUGGAUUGCCACAUGAAUAGCUAGUUCUGGGUAAUUAGCUUUGUCGUGGUCUGAUCUGUAUAGCUAGUUCAGCUAGCUAUUUUUUUAUUGAUUACCAGUUCUUAAGAGUAUUGAUCCACAAGUUCAUUUUUUUUUGCCUCAGCAUCCCAAAUUUCUCUAGGAAUGAUGUGCGAUUAUAUGCAAUAGGUAUAUAGGUGCUGACGCUAAUUUCAUCAAGUUCCACAUAUUUCUGGUGAAAAAGGGCUAUUGUUUCAACCAUAUUCUGCAACUGAACUGAAAAUGUUUAGUUUAAGAAAAAUGUUGGGAGGUUUUCUUUUGAUUUCAGAAAGGAUAAAAUGAUUUUUGCAAUCUCGUAGUCAAAUAUGGGAUUUCUUCCAAUCUGCUGCACACACAUGGGAUUUAUGCUGUCUCUGCAGGAUGAUGGUAACAUUCAGCAGCCCACGGCUAUCCCCAACCAACGAGUUAUAGGAGACGAGCAGGUGCCUGAUGAUGUGCCAUGAAGCCCCAGACCUGUCCAGCUCCAACACGAACACCACGUGCAGAGCACCACCGUCCAGAUUCUGGCCACUGGAUAUCUUCUUGCUAACUUCCAGGCGUUGAGGUGGCAGUGACUAAGACGAGGUCAGAAGGAAACUGCAAGAGUGGAUACACGAGCUUAGAUUUCAGCGAGCUCAGCAUGACAUGUCUCUAACCACGAGGAUAAACACUGUAUCAUUUUGGUGUGCACAUUCAUCAUUUUGUUUUUUCUAGAAAAAGAAUUCAGUUUACAAAUGCCAAUGUGUACGAGGUCAGAAGCUAGCUGAAAGAAUGACUACAAGGGACAAGAUGGACCUUGAGACCCAUAGAGCAUAAAUUAGAUUUAUUGUUCAAUUUGUAUUCCUUCACUCACCUGGCAACAAAUCUAUUUGCAAAAUACGUAUCACCUGAUUGAAAAUAUAGUACCGGCACUGCUCUAUGGAAUGGGAAUAAAGUACUUAAUUUGUUGAGCAAAGCACCAGCACACAAGCAACUUUUCUGUGUUGAUAUGACGUAAAGGUGCCUCGAGCUGUGCGUUUCUGCCAAACACUGCACACUCUGGCAGCCAAUCUUUUGACCCAUGGUUACCUGACACCUCCACUACCGAUGUACUGUGCCGAUGUCCGUACAGAUAUUUUACCUCGCUCUGAAUCACGGGCGGGAUACAAGCACAAGUUGUACACCUAUGUACCCAGCUGUGAUUUAUAUGUACUAUGCUGAUGUGUGUACAGAUAUUUUCCCCUCGUUCCAAAUCACGGGUGGGAUACUAGCACAAGUUGUACACCUAUAUACCCAGCUGUGAUCUAUAAGAAACAUGAUGUUGUGCUUUUGCGCAAAUGCAUUUCAAUUAA